UACGUAGGGUGCGAGCGUUAAUCGGAAUUACUGGGCGUAAAGCGUGCGCAGGCGGUUCUGCAAGUCAGAUGUGAAAUCCCCGGGCUCAACCUGGGAACUGCGUUUGAAACUACAGGGCUAGAGUAUGGGAGAGGGAGGUAGAAUUCCACGUGUAGCAGUGAAAUGCGUAGAGAUGUGGAGGAAUACCAAUGGCGAAGGCAGCCUCCUGGCCUAAUACUGACGCUCAUGCACGAAAGCGUGGGGAGCAAACAGG
RNAcentral lists this ribosomal RNA (253 nucleotides) under uncultured bacterium. Its description in RNAcentral is "partial 16S ribosomal RNA". It matches the Rfam family "Bacterial small subunit ribosomal RNA", at positions 524 to 776 of the family's 1533-position model. The record is from RNAcentral.